Molecule: ribosomal RNA, 253 nt
Filed under: uncultured bacterium
Lineage: Bacteria
Description: partial 16S ribosomal RNA
Rfam family: Bacterial small subunit ribosomal RNA
Source: RNAcentral
UACGGGGGGGGCAAGCGUUGUUCGGAAUUACUGGGCGUAAAGGGCGCGUAGGCGGUCUGCUAAGUUGGAUGUGAAAACUCUGGGCUUAACCCAGAGCCUGCAUUCAAAACUGACAGGCUAGAGUUCUGGAGGGGGAAGCGGAAUUCCUGGUGUAGCGGUGAAAUGCGUAGAUAUCCGGAGGAAUACCAGUGGCGAAGGCGGCACGCUGGGCCAUAACUGACGCUAAGACGCGAAAGCAUGGGUAGCGAACGGG